UGAACAAUUACUAAACCUUUGUUAAAAUGAGUUUCAAGAUUUCAAAAGAAAAACCAUUAAAAGCCGUCUCGCUAUACUCACUAACACUCACUUGAUAUUACUGCCACACUGUUACUACGUAACGAUCUUGGUGAAUCCAUAUUGUUAUUUUAUUGCUAUAUUUAUUUGACGUGGCUUGUGCGAAUGCACCCUGUUCUUCACUUGACUAUCAUCACGUAGCCGAAUAUGUGUUGCUUUUACUUACACUCGUCCAACAACGAAUCCUACUUCACUUAAACGUACAGUACACGGAUCUCAGUGAGCUUGCUAAUCUACUGAGGGAUUACUUGGGGCUAAAGUUUUUCUCUUUACGAUACCAAGCCCGCGACUUCAUAAGAGGAUAAAUUUGAAAGACRAAGCGGAUAAAAAAAUCAAUUAAAAACGAAAGACAGGUGGAAAUUUUGUUAGAAGACGACAACUG
This is a long non-coding RNA of Actinia tenebrosa (Australian red waratah sea anemone), 460 nucleotides long. The record is from RefSeq and is a predicted model, not a curated record. NCBI's taxonomy places the organism in Eukaryota, Metazoa, Cnidaria, Anthozoa, Actiniaria, Actiniidae.